AUACGUAGGUGACAAGCGUUAUCCGGAUUUACUGGGCGUAAAGGGCGUGUAGGCGGUCUUGCAAGUCAGAAGUGAAAUUCCUGAGCUCAACUCGGGCGCUGCUUCUGAAACUGCAGGACUUGAGUGCUGGAGGGGAUAGCGGAAUUCCUAGUGGAGCGGUAAAAUGCGCAGAUAUUAGGAAGAACACCGGUGGCGAAGGCGGCUAUCUGGACAGUAACUGACGCUGAGGCGCGAAAGCGUGGGGAGCAAACAGGAUUAGAUACCCAGGUAGUCCACGCCGUAAAUGGUGAAUACUAGGUGUAGGGGGUAUCGACUCCCUCUGUGCCGCAGUUAACACAAUAAGUAUUCCGCCUGGGGAGUACGGCCGCAAGGUUGAAACUCAAAUGAAUUGACGGGG
RNAcentral lists this ribosomal RNA (397 nucleotides) under uncultured bacterium. RNAcentral's name for it is "partial 16S ribosomal RNA". It matches the Rfam family "Bacterial small subunit ribosomal RNA", at positions 523 to 918 of the family's 1533-position model. The record is from RNAcentral.